This is a non-coding RNA of Zootoca vivipara (common lizard), 442 nucleotides long. NCBI's taxonomy places the organism in Eukaryota, Metazoa, Chordata, Lepidosauria, Squamata, Lacertidae. The record is from RefSeq and is a predicted model, not a curated record.
UUCUUCAAUGCGAACACAUCUCCAGAGUAUCUCCAGUUAGGAUGGUUCUCCCUCUCGGCCUGCUGCCAAGAGAGAGACCAGAUGGAGCCUUUCUCUACUAAGAAGACUCCAGAUGUACAUAUUUGUAACUUUUCUACGUAAACCUGCCUUUCUGAGAUUACGCUGUUAACUCAGGAUGUCAUGGGUACUUCUACGAUGCUUCUAAAAAAUUCCCACUGAUGUGAGCUGGAACUCGGCACGGUUCCUGCCCCUCACCCCAACACACCUUUUCGCAUGAAGGCUGACACAGUUUGGUCAAAGAUCAAAGACGCUACCUGUACUCACGUUUUCCUGCAAGGAAGUUCUCCAGAAACUCAUCCCAGUUUCCUGGCUCUGGCAUCCCCUUGUUCAUGCGGUGGAAAUGGAAGUAGGAGACUGCAUUGUCCUUGGCGUUCCUGGCAAC